GUUUAUUCAGACCAGACAAGUUUUAUCAGUACUGGUGGUAGGGCUUUGUGCAAGCUCGUCUGGUCAGGGACGGCCGUGGCGGCGCGAGACCGCGGCGACCGUCCAGGGUCGGCGGAUAUCGAGCUGAUCAGAGCUCUAGCCCAGCAAGCCCUAAUAGCCCGAUGAGAGGAGGACCUGGCGACAGCGACACAAGUGGGGACGUGUCCCCACUUGAGUCGCUGGGUCAAAAGAAAACGAGGCACGCUCUCGUUCUGCUUGACGCAGAUACUUACCGGACACGGCAUCUUCGAUAAAUACCUGCACGAGUUAGCGCGGCGGCAGGUGCUACCUUCAUGCCAUGUGUGUGGUGCGCCAGUCUACACGGCGCAAUACAUCCUGACGGAGUGUGUCAGGAUGUGCCCCUGAGGCAUUCCCAAGCGGCUGUUGUCGGCGGAGACCUCUCCUUGCCGAGCAUCAAUACCGCGAUGCUUGGAAGCGAGGAUUGCUGGUCGGAAUGGUCUCCUACUGUGAAAGUGUGGUGGCGUAAAAGGAAGCCAUAGAUCAGAAAGGAGAAUUUUAAAAUUACCGUGUUUUCUUUAUACUAAUAAAUGAAGCGACUUUUUGUGAUGCCUAACUGAAAAAACUAAACCAAUAUAGGUUAAACUUAUAACAGAAGAUCCAGCGCGUUUUGGGGAAGGGUUUAGUAUAAUAUUAUUAUUAUAUAAGUAGAUACGCUUUACAGUUUUGACCCGCUUUAAAUGUUGACUAUUGACACUUAUUGGCCCAACCGACAAUAGCUUAAACUUUUAUUGAAUUUGAACCUUCGAACGGCGGUUCGAAAGGCGGUUAAUAACAUUAAGAGAUACCUAGGUGCUGUUUCAUAUUUUCCGAAACACGGAAAUAGUAAGACUCAUCCGAUAAUAUGGAAAUUUUACAUUACUUAUAUUUUUACAUAACUUAUAAUUUCAGGACGGAGUAUUCUAGCAUAUAUAUGUUUUUGUAUGUAUACUUAGUUACUCGUCCCAGGUUUGCCCGCGAGAAUAAAGGUAUACAUUUAUAUCAUACGUAAUACAUACAACUCUAUUGUUUGAUGCUGCGCACGGCCAUAAAAUUUUUUCAUGGUAAAUGAAACAUAUAAAUUUGUAUAUUUAGUAUUGUAUACACAAAUUAAAAAAUAACAAAGUUUUGAAGAAAGAAGCUUAAAGAUGAAACACAAAAGUUGAACACGUAGUUUAGCAUUAUCGCCACUCUGCCAAGAAAAAUACAUGUCAGUAGGGUAUUAUUAUCAUGUCCGUUUGACAUUAAUAAAGUUUCACAGAGUAGAGAAUCUUGGUUAACAUUUACUGGUGAAAAUUCAUAAAUUUCUCCCGAGUAUACGAAUUUUUUUUAAAAGUUCUUUUACGUAUGUAUAUAUUUCAAAAUAUUUAUAAAGCAAAAGUCACACUAAGUGUCUCCUCCUUUCUUCUUGAGGAGGUCGGAGCUCAUCUACCACGUUGCGCAUUGCUGGUUGGUUAAUAUACAUACAUCUGGCAGAAUUGUAUUCGUAACUUGCAGGUUCUCUUGCGGUGUUUUUCUUCGACGCUGAACUCGAGACGAAUUAUAAACUAUGGAUUAUAAAGUUUAUAAAAAUUCAGUAGAGCUUUUUCAAGUUUACGUGUAUUCUUCGCAUGUUUCCUUAAUGUCCUUUCCUCAAUUAGGCUUGGUAAAGGUUAAAAAAAGGACAUCAUGGAUGCGAACUUGUCUUUUUCUCUUUACCUUUUUUUUAAACCUAUAUCUCUUAAAAAUCGGUCUCCUUCUUGUGAAGGCUUUAGGUCUAAAGCACAUUUUGCUCUUGAAAUUAUUUUUAUAAGUAUGUGGAACUUCGGCCAGAGUGCCAAACUCCUCCAUACUGGGACGUUACGCUUAACCGCGGGAUCGCUUGCGCAUACUAUAGUGACGCUCCGAUGAUUGGCCUACCUCAGCAGGAUUCUUUAGUCGACGACCAGAAGCAAUGAUAUCCAAAUAGGAAUUAUAUUUUAUAAUCAAAAUAUUUUAUAAAUGCGAUAAUAUCUUAGCAUGCUUUACGAGAAAUAGUUUCAGUUAUAGUAGCAAUAAAAUAUUGAAACGUAUAUACACAAUAUGUAAAACGAUUAAUUCAACACUAUAAUCAAGUUUAACUCACCUUUUUCGGGUCACUGAAAAUAAUGGUGUUUUGUAUUCCUGUCGCCAUAGAUACAACCUCGCUGCCCUGUAGUUAUCGCAUCUCGCUUGCAUGUACCUAAUGAAAAGUUCAAGGCCCUUAAUGUAACGGAUAAAAAAAUAGCAACGGCCCAGAUAACAUUUUUAUGUAGAACAUAUCAUGAAAUAAAUCUAAAUAGACUUUAUUGCAGACCGUUA
Nymphalis io (European peacock) is the source of this 2355-nucleotide long non-coding RNA. RefSeq lists it as uncharacterized. The record is from RefSeq and is a predicted model, not a curated record. NCBI's taxonomy places the organism in Eukaryota, Metazoa, Arthropoda, Insecta, Lepidoptera, Nymphalidae. The transcript has 2 exons.